RNA transcript from Centruroides sculpturatus (bark scorpion), 818 nucleotides. It is a transcript of the gene named transcription initiation factor TFIID subunit 10-like, with no coding region annotated. The record is from RefSeq and is a predicted model, not a curated record. NCBI's taxonomy places the organism in Eukaryota, Metazoa, Arthropoda, Arachnida, Scorpiones, Buthidae. The transcript has 7 exons.
AUCGUGAAUAAAAGCAAAAAAAUUAACGUUUCUCGUUACUGUCGGCAGAGGGCGUAAUUCGUGACCAGUGAGUGGCGAUGGAAGAGAAGGGAUAUUUAUUCUCGAUCAGUCAAAAUGGCGACUGGAGAUGAUGGCAAUGUUAAUACAAAUUCAGUCCCUUUGUUGAAUUCUUCAUUAAGCAAUGGAUCAAACCAGAUUAAUUCUUUGUCAAACACCUCAAAUUCAAUCUUGACAGUGAAAACUUCAGGACAUCCUCUCUCAGAUUUUCUUUUACAACUGGAAGAUUAUACUCCAACGAUCCCUGAUGCUGUAACAGCAUAUUAUUUAAAUUCAUCUGGAUACGAAGGAUCUGAUCCAAGAAUAGUAAGAUUAAUAUCACUUGCUGCUCAGAAAUUCAUAUCUGACAUAGCUAACGAUGCAUUACAACAUUGUAAAAUGCGUGGAGCAGGACAGAGCAAAAAAGCAAUCAAGGACAAACGUUAUACAUUAACAAUGGAGGAUCUUACUCCAGCUCUUGCUGAAUAUGGAAUUAAUGUGAAGAAGCCUUAUUAUUUUGUAUAAAAGAUACUAGAUUGUAUAAAAUACUCUGACAAUAUUGUAAUUGGCGUUUCCAGACAGCAGCUUUCUUUGCCAUGACUUGGCGUUUCCAGAGCGGGAUUGGACAGCCAUUGGUAUCAACAGAUGGCAUCUUCUCUACAAAAUUAUCAGUUGUGAAUUCAUUAUUAUCCACCAUUUGUUUCUGUAAAUAAAUUUUUAUUCAUUAAAUGAAUCAUAUGAUAUUUGAGUGCAAAUAAAUUUAGUGUAAUUGACAUAUUUAA